CUCUACAAUGGAGGCGAAGCUAUUGAAGGCUCUCUCGCCAGUAUUUCCGUCUCCUCAUAUAUCGAAGUUUCUAAGCACAAGUAGCUGCUUGGAUCCCAAAACCGGGAAAUAUCCUUUUACAUUAACGCCGCGAAGCUUGGCAAGGAGACGCAUUCCAUCUAUUCGUGCAUCUGCUUCUUCCAUUGGGUUGGAAAAGAAGAAAAGGGUUGAUGAGAGUGAUAAUUUGACCCUUGAGCAUAUUAGACGUUCCUUGAUUCGACAAGAGGAUAGCAUAAUAUA
Molecule: unclassified non-coding RNA, 279 nt
Filed under: Hevea brasiliensis (rubber tree)
Lineage: Eukaryota; Viridiplantae; Streptophyta; Magnoliopsida; Malpighiales; Euphorbiaceae
Source: RNAcentral